This 433-nucleotide ribosomal RNA is filed under the name uncultured bacterium. Its description in RNAcentral is "partial 16S ribosomal RNA". It matches the Rfam family "Bacterial small subunit ribosomal RNA", at positions 29 to 507 of the family's 1533-position model. The record is from RNAcentral.
AACGAACGCUGGCGGCAUGCCUAACACAUGCAAGUCGAACGAUCCCUUCGGGGAUAGUGGCGCACGGGUGCGUAACGCGUGGGAACCUGCCCUUAGGUUCGGAAUAACUCAGAGAAAUUUGAGCUAAUACCGGAUAAUGUCUUCGGACCAAAGAUUUAUCGCCUUUGGAUGGGCCCGCGUUGGAUUAGCUAGUUGGUGGGGUAAAGGCCUACCAAGGCGACGAUCGAUAGCUGGUCUGAGAGGAUGAUCAGCCACACUGGGACUGAGACACGGCCCAGACUCCUACGGGAGGCAGCAGUGGGGAAUAUUGGACAAUGGGCGAAAGCCUGAUCCAGCAAUGCCGCGUGAGUGAUGAAGGCCUUAGGGUUGUAAAGCUCUUUUACCCGGGAUGAUAAUGACAGUACCGGGAGAAUAAGCCCCGGCUAACUCCGUG